AUGUCGAUUUCCGUCUCAGUCUUCUGCCCAAGACAUUUUUUCAUUCAUCACAACAAUGUCAAAACAACCCAGCUAGAUAAACAAAAGGAUGUUGCGACCAAUACUGGACCUAAAUCGGGUACAGAAGAUCGUGGAGAUCUGAAUGAUCCUCGUGUGAGACUAAAGCGUGAUUGUGUUAGAAUUCUUGCUGCAUUCAAAUUCAAAGGUCCCCCUCAUCAGUUUCUUAUUGUAGCCAACACACAUAUUUAUUGGUAA
This is a non-coding RNA of Vicia faba (fava bean), 255 nucleotides long. The record is from the annotation of a GenBank genome assembly. Lineage: Eukaryota; Viridiplantae; Streptophyta; Magnoliopsida; Fabales; Fabaceae.